UCGGUAUGUACUGGCUUUACUGAUUCCUCCUUCUUGACGAACCGUGAUGUCAUUAAUUUGGUGUUGCGGGAAAUCAGGACUGUUACUUUGAAAAAAUUAGAGUGUUUAAAGCAGGCUAACGCUUGAAUACAUUAGCAUGGAAUAAUGAAAUAGGACGUUAAUCCUAUUUUGUUGGUUUCUAGGAUCGACGUAAUGAUUAAUAGGGAUAGUUGGGGGCAUUAGUAUUCAAUUGUCAGAGGUGAAAUUCUUGGAUUUAUUGAAGACUAACUACUGCGAAAGCAUUUGCCAAGGAUGUUUUCAUUAAUCAAGAACGAAAGUUAGGGGAUCGAAAACAAUCAAAUACCGUCGUAGUCUUAACCAUAAACUAUGCCAACAA
RNAcentral lists this ribosomal RNA (376 nucleotides) under uncultured Glomeromycotina. RNAcentral describes it as "SSU rRNA". It matches the Rfam family "Eukaryotic small subunit ribosomal RNA", at positions 670 to 1048 of the family's 1831-position model. The record is from RNAcentral. Lineage: Eukaryota; Fungi; Glomeromycota.